This 487-nucleotide ribosomal RNA is filed under the name uncultured bacterium. Its description in RNAcentral is "bacterial SSU rRNA". It matches the Rfam family "Bacterial small subunit ribosomal RNA", at positions 29 to 510 of the family's 1533-position model. The record is from RNAcentral.
AACGAACGCUGGCGGCGCGCCUAAUACAUGCAAGUCGAGCGAGAAGACGUAGCAAUACGUUUGUAAAGCGGCGAACGGGUGAGGAAUACAUGGGUAACCUACCCUCGAGUGGGGAAUAACUAGCCGAAAGGUUAGCUAAUACCGCGUACGCUCCUUGGACUUCGGUUCAGGGAGGAAAGCGAUACCGCGGGUAUCGCGCUCUUGGAUGGGCUCAUGUCCUAUCAGCUUGUUGGUGAGGAACGGCUCACCAAGGCUUCGACGGGUAGCUGGUCUGAGAGGACGAUCAGCCACACUGGCACUGCGACACGGGCCAGACUCCUACGGGAGGCAGCAGUAAGGAAUAUUGCGCAAUGGGCGAAAGCCUGACGCAGCGACGCCGCGUGGGGGAUGAAGGUCUUCGGAUUGUAAACCCCUUUCGGGAGGGAAGAUGGAACGAGCAAUCGUUCGGACGGUACCUCCAGAAGCAGCCACGGCUAACUUCGUGCCA